UACAUGGACGUCGGACGAUAUAUGUGU
RNAcentral lists this small RNA (27 nucleotides) under Bombyx mori (domestic silkworm). RNAcentral's name for it is "ovarian small RNA-20421". Lineage: Eukaryota; Metazoa; Arthropoda; Insecta; Lepidoptera; Bombycidae. The record is from RNAcentral.